Molecule: ribosomal RNA, 495 nt
Filed under: Triticum aestivum (bread wheat)
Lineage: Eukaryota; Viridiplantae; Streptophyta; Magnoliopsida; Poales; Poaceae
Description: partial small subunit ribosomal RNA
Source: RNAcentral
AUGGAAAGAAAGACACCACUACUUCGCCUUUUUGUUGGACCGCCGGCGCGAACACAGUGUUGGUGGGCUCAUCAUGAAUUAGGUCGGGGUGGCUGGUGGUUUCGGGAUCCCGUAGAAAAUGCGUCUUUUAUGCCUCGGGUAUUAGCCACAGCUCGUAUUCAUUCAGUAAUUCUACCCCUUCUUCAUUCUUGGACCUCGCUUCUGAAUAUUUUGACUCUUCCAUGUUGUGUCUUAGGAACCUUUUCAAUACGGUCCGGAUUGCUAGCUCCCGUUCAUAGUUCCGCUACAGACGAUACACGAGGAAGAUUUUUAUGGCGGUUCUUCCUUCUAAUUACAGGCAUAUCUAUGACUCUUUUUUACCAGAUGAAGCAGGAGGCAUCGGUCCGUAGAACCUAUAAAAAAGAGAUGGUUGUGGCGCGAAGUACUCUUGUGCACCUACAUCACUCGGCUCACGCGCAACCCCGCCCCGUUAUGUUAUGUUAUGGAAGAAUUUAG